This 98-nucleotide transfer RNA is filed under the name compost metagenome. RNAcentral's name for it is "tRNA-Met". The record is from RNAcentral.
GCGCUGGUGGCGUCCUCGGGGGUAACGCCACUGGCGGCAUACGCCAGCGGGUUGAGGAACGCCGCGAUCAGGCCCAGUUGCUGGUCGGGGUUGGCGCU